UACGGGGGGGGCAAGCGUUGUUCGGAAUUACUGGGCGUAAAGGGCUCGUAGGCGGCCAACUAAGUCAGACGUGAAAUCCCUCGGCUUAACCGGGGAACUGCGUCUGAUACUGGAUGGCUUGAGUUUGGGAGAGGGAUGCGGAAUUCCAGGUGUAGCGGUGAAAUGCGUAGAUAUCUGGAGGAGCACCGGUGGCGAAGGCGGCAUCCUGGACCAACACUGACGCUGAUGAGCGAAAGCGUGGGGAGCAAACAGG
This 253-nucleotide ribosomal RNA is filed under the name uncultured bacterium. RNAcentral describes it as "partial 16S ribosomal RNA". It matches the Rfam family "Bacterial small subunit ribosomal RNA", at positions 524 to 776 of the family's 1533-position model. The record is from RNAcentral.